Molecule: non-coding RNA, 104 nt
Organism: Astrocystis sublimbata
Lineage: Eukaryota; Fungi; Ascomycota; Sordariomycetes; Xylariales; Xylariaceae
Source: the annotation of a GenBank genome assembly
UCCGAAUUGGUGUAGUGGCUAACAUAUGUCGCUCUCAACUUUCUCUGCCUCCGCAGCUGAAGUGAAGUCCCGACAUGCCCGGGGUUCGAUUCCCCGAUUCGGAG